UAGGAAUUGGCGGGGGAGCACCGCAACGGGAGGAGCGUGCGGUUCAAUUGGAUUCAACGCCGGAAAACUCACCGGGGAAGACUGGUACAUGUGAGCCAAGCCGAUGACUUUGCUCGAAUUCCAGAGAGGUGGUGCAUGGCCGUCGUCAGUUCGUACCGUAAGGCGUUCUGUUAAGUCAGAUAACGAACGAGACCCUCGUCUCUAGUUGCCACCUGCCCCUCCGGGGGCAGAGAACUUUAGAGAGACCGCUGCUGCUAAAGCAGAGGAAGGGGAGGUCAACGGUAGGUCCGUAUGCCCCGAAUUUCCCGGGCAACACGCGCGCUACAAAGGAUGGGACAAUGGGCUCCGACGCCGAAAGGCGAAGGCAAUCUCGAAACCCAUUCGUAGUCUGAAUUGAGGGCUGUAACUCGCCCUCAUGAAACUGGAUUCCGUAGUAAUCGCAUGUCAACAUCAUGCGGUGGAAUAUGCCCCUGCUCUUUGCACACAC
Molecule: ribosomal RNA, 487 nt
Filed under: uncultured archaeon
Lineage: Archaea
Description: bacterial SSU rRNA
Rfam family: Archaeal small subunit ribosomal RNA
Source: RNAcentral